This 262-nucleotide ribosomal RNA is filed under the name uncultured archaeon. Its description in RNAcentral is "partial 16S ribosomal RNA". It matches the Rfam family "Archaeal small subunit ribosomal RNA", at positions 748 to 1008 of the family's 1478-position model. The record is from RNAcentral.
CAGCCGUAAACUAUGCUCGCUAGGUGUCAGGCAUGGCGCGACCGUGUCUGGUGCCGCAGGGAAGCCGUGAAGCGAGCCACCUGGGAAGUACGGCCGCAAGGCUGAAACUUAAAGGAAUUGGCGGGGGGAGCACAACAACGGGUGGAGCCUGCGGUUUAAUUGGACUCAACGCCGGACAACUCACCGGGAACGACAGCAAUAUGUAGGCCAGGCUGAAGACCUUGCCUGAAUCGCUGAGAGGUGGUGCAUGGCGUCAGUGACU